RNAcentral lists this ribosomal RNA (253 nucleotides) under uncultured bacterium. RNAcentral's name for it is "partial 16S ribosomal RNA". It matches the Rfam family "Bacterial small subunit ribosomal RNA", at positions 524 to 776 of the family's 1533-position model. The record is from RNAcentral.
UACGAACUGUGCGAACGUUAUUCGGAAUCACUGGGCUUACAGGGUGCGUAGGCGGCUUUUCAAGUCAGGGGUGAAAGCCCCCGGCUCAACCGGGGAAUUGCGCUUGAAACUGGAGAGCUCGAGUCAGCUAGAGGUGCACGGAACUUCCAGUGGAGCGGUGAAAUGUGUUGAUAUUGGAAGGAACACCGGAGGCGAAAGCGGUGCACUGGGGCUGGUCUGACGCUGAGGCACGAAAGCCAGGGUAGCGAACGGG